RNAcentral lists this long non-coding RNA (208 nucleotides) under Lathyrus oleraceus (garden pea). RNAcentral's name for it is "Pisum sativum (pea) long non-coding RNA (PSAT_LNC021153)". Lineage: Eukaryota; Viridiplantae; Streptophyta; Magnoliopsida; Fabales; Fabaceae. The record is from RNAcentral.
AUGAUUAACACAUUUCAGAUCUAGAUUCAAGAAAAUCACAAAAAAUUUCUCUCAAACUUUUUUCCAAAAUUCUUCAAACAAGAACACUUUCUUUUGCUCAAUUCAUCAUCAUGAAGUGUUGUUGAGUAGAAUUGGAUGUGGAUUUAGAAGAAAUCGUGGCAUAUUGAGCUAGGUUCAAGGUGUGAAGCAUCCAUGGCAGUUGGAGAUU